RNAcentral lists this long non-coding RNA (392 nucleotides) under Carica papaya (papaya). RNAcentral's name for it is "long non-coding RNA (CPAP_LNC008607)". The record is from RNAcentral. Lineage: Eukaryota; Viridiplantae; Streptophyta; Magnoliopsida; Brassicales; Caricaceae.
CUGCGGUGGUGGUGCCGGGUGGUACUGUGGUGGAGCAGGCUCGUGCCCGGGUGGCUCGGGAUCCGCUUGCUUUAGCGGUGGCUCAACUCGUAGUAGUGGGGGAGGUUCGGGUAACUCCCUUCUCUCCUCUCGACCCUGCUGGGCAGCCAUGAUCCUUUCCAGCAUCUCAAAUAUUCUGUCCACAUUUUCCCGUAGCGAAUCAUCCUGGGCUGCUCGGUUUAGUGGGGGUCUUCCUCUCCUCAUUUCUUUGCACCUGCAUUUCACACAAAAGAGUUGAGUAACGAUUUAUCAGUGGGUAUUUCUCUAAGCAUUAUUGUGUAAGGGAUGAGUCAGAGUAACGCGGCUCUGAUACCAACUGUAACGGCCCUGGAAAUUUAAAUGAAGAUGUAUAU